AUUGAACGCUGGCGGCAUGCCUUACACAUGCAAGUCGAACGGUAACAGGUCUUCGGAUGCUGACGAGUGGCGAACGGGUGAGUAAUACAUCGGAACGUGCCUAGUAGUGGGGGAUAACUACUCGAAAGAGUGGCUAAUACCGCAUGAGAUCUACGGAUGAAAGCAGGGGAUCGCAAGACCUUGUGCUACUAGAGCGGCCGAUGGCAGAGUAGGUAGUUGGUGGGAUAAAAGCUUACCAAGCCGACGAUCUGUAGCUGGUCUGAGAGGACGAUCAGCCACACUGGGACUGAGACACGGCCCAGACUCCUACGGGAGGCAGCAGUGGGGAAUUUUGGACAAUGGGCGAAAGCCUGAUUCAGCAAUGCCGCGUGCAGGAUGAAGGCCUUCGGGUUGUAAACUGCUUUUGUACGGAACGAAAAGCCCCAGGUUAAUACCCUGGGGUCAUGACGGUACCGUAAGAAUAAGCACCGGCUAACUACGUGCCAGCCGCCGCAGUAA
This 498-nucleotide ribosomal RNA is filed under the name uncultured bacterium. RNAcentral's name for it is "partial 16S ribosomal RNA". It matches the Rfam family "Bacterial small subunit ribosomal RNA", at positions 30 to 523 of the family's 1533-position model. The record is from RNAcentral.